Molecule: long non-coding RNA, 4367 nt
Organism: Tupaia belangeri chinensis (Chinese tree shrew)
Lineage: Eukaryota; Metazoa; Chordata; Mammalia; Scandentia; Tupaiidae
Exons: 2
Source: RefSeq, a predicted model, not a curated record
ACAAAAAACUUCAGAGUUUGAGGUUCUCAUUCAAUUUUUAAAGUUAGCGAAGGGUGAUCAACGGUCCCUUUUUGUUUUACUCGGUUGGCAGGGGAACUAAGAAAUCCCGCGCAUCGGCCGUCUGAGGGAAAGUGGGAAAUCACACAGGGGCAUGCCACAAUCCCUUCUCGGGGUCUUGGGCACUCCCAAGUGUCAUGGUUCCGGGUCAAACUCUGCUGGCCCUGGGGGAGCCCAGCACCUUAACCGCCAGGCCAUCUGAUGGCCACAAGGACGCACUGGUUUUUGACCAGCAGAUGGCCUAAUGGUUACGUUGUUGGAUUCCCAUGUAGGGACCGCGGUUUGAGUCCCUGGCUCAGCAGCUUGAAACAGGGCAGUGCGCCUGUGGGUACCCAAAGUCCCGAGAGGAGAAUGGAGGAGAAAGGAUUGUGGCAUGGCCACAACUCAUGCGGGGCUGGGGCUGGGGUGAUCUCUCGGUUUCUGUCUUUCAGCUACCACAGGUGUCCUAUAGCUACCCCCCCCCCAAAAUAAAAACCAAUAAAGACAUUUUCCCAAGUGUCAGUCAGUCACGAAGCCGGCUGGCUGCAGGUGAAAUAGCUGCGCGGGAGGGCUAGAACAGCAGGGGACGCUGCGGUCUCCUCCAGCCCUGACUCCGGAAGCGCAAGAGUAAGAAAGUCCAACGUUCUCAGAAAUCAAGCUACGCCAUCGAAGGGCCUGAAAGUGGCACCGUGGUGAAAGUCACUGUGCCAAGGUGACCACGUGGGGACUCCAGAGCGUCCUGGGGACCACCUGCCGGACCCGCUCUCCUAAAGGGCUGCUUGAGGCUGGGAGUGGGCGGCAGCACUCAGAACCACCCUGCUGGCACAGUCUCGCAUGGAGAGAAGGAAAUUCCCGUGCGUGUGAACACAAGAGCAGCAAACCUAGCCUUUUUAAGUUCACGUGUUUCUUCCACGCGAGAUAGGCGCUUCCAACAGGGUCCUCUUGCCAUGACCCACCCCAGCCUCAGCCAGCCAAGAUCACUGGUGGUGCCAGGUGUGCACAGGGAGGAGCUGGGAUCCUUCCACGAGGUACAGCCAGAUCACCACGCCCCGCACCGUGCAGCUGUCGGGUGAGGCUGCUGUGGGCAUGGUCUCACCACCACUGCCCCGUGGGUGGUCCUCUUAAACCUUUGGUCAGGCCGCCUCCCAUGAAUUCAGUCUGUCAGUCUCCUAAACGUUUUGACUUGUUUCAGAAAGCAUUUUUACAACCAUCAGUUCCGAUCAAUGGGAUGACUUGUCGGGAUGACUCCCUUAUAGUCCUCUUGGUCUGUCAAAGUUCUUUUUUGUUCCUGAUCUGCGGGACCACCUGCCAUCGUCCCACAGCAGCCUCCGCUGCCUCGUUCUGAGUGACCUACCGAGCUGGACUCCUGGGAUUUUCUUAGUGAGCCGCUAGACUGUUUUAUUAAUAAGACAUUUAUUUACUCUUCAUUUUUGAUGAGUCUUCCAAGUAACUUUUCCCAGAACACUAAAGCUGUGCAUGUGGAAACAUGCCUCAUCUUGUCCUUGGAAAGUAACGUGGCUAGGUUUAGAAUUCUGGGAACAAAACUGUACCCUCAACCCCAUGUGUGCACGUGCACACGUGCACACACGCACACACUUCCACGGCUGUUACCCAGCACUGUUUCUGAGCGGGUCUGAUGCCAAGCAGCCUGAGUUACGUUUCGCUGAGUUUCCUCUAGACCCCAUCUCUCUAUCUUUUCUUUCAUUUUUCCUCUUUACACGUGGGCCCUUCCAGUCUGAAAACUUGUCUUCCCCAUCAGUCAGGAAAUGUUGAUGUCCCUCACCGCCAUUUUUCUGUUCUAGCUUUCUGAACUUGCCAUUAGGCAAACAGAUCUCCCUCCUGGGUCCCUCCAGGGGUAACUAUUGACCGUUCUGCUGUAUGUCCGGAGAGACCGCCUCAACUCCAUCUUUCAAUUCAUGGACAGCCUGUUCAGUGCCAUGUUUUUUUGUUUGUUUGUUUUUCAAUUUCCCUAAUUCCUUUAGCUUCAGACAACCUUCCUAGUCUGUGCUCUCUAUGGAUGCAGUAGCUUCUCGUGUCCCGUUUCAGUUACUUUUUUCCAAUCAUGACCUUUGUCCCAGGCUCAUGUGUUCUGUGUGUUCUGGAGAAGCUGAUGGCGGUUCUGAUAACGAUUGCUGGUUGGCAAGUACCUACCUAAAUGACCAGGCCACAAGUCCUCCAUAGGGCUGAAAGCAGCGGAAGAUAUUUAAACCCCAAAUCAGAGGAUGAUCAAGAGAAGCUGAACUUAGGAUUUUCUCUCAUUACUUAGUCUGAAUUCCAGUGUUUUUACAGCUUCCAGAGCUGUGGGGAAUGGAGCUAUUUGAUCACAGAAUCAUCGAGUUUGCUCCUGCACCUGCUUGUCAGCCUCCCUCCCUGGGCUCCUGCUGUAGCAGGCAGGAGUCACCAACACCCAGCACAGUGCCUGGCAGAGGUGCUCGAUCCUUGCCUGUGCCCUUUGUCCCCAGCCCGGGCUUCCUCUGUCCUGCGGCCUUGCUGUGGGUAGUGCCCAUCUCCCUGCUCUCCUCUGCAGGCCUGUGACCUGGACACUCACUAACGGGUGGCUGUGGUCUUCACGAAGGCCUGCCCCACACUGACCUUUAACUACUGCGGGCCACUUGACACAGGCAGAACAUGCCAGAGGGACGAGGAGCUGCCUCCGCGCUGAACGCUAGCCCCCGUAGAGCGGUCUCGGCAGCGGUAAAUUCGCGUCCCGCAGCCGAAUCACUGCUUUACCCCGCAUGAAGGGGUGGCAGAGGGUGAGACCCAAUCGGCCAGUGAUCAACUGUAGCUGUCCUUUCUCCCGUGGCUUACAAACCUCUAACCGUCGGUUGCCUGCUUCUGGCUUUGUUCAUUUGUCCUGAACGCCUAACACUUUACCUUACCUUUUAUUAAGGCAUCGUAGUUAAUGUAAGCCGUUGCUUAAGUCUCUAAGACACAGUUCUGACUUUGUUUGCCGGGGACACGCGGGGAGAGGCGACACACCCCCCCAUGGGGAACAGUCACGCCAGUCCCUUCUCCACUCACCCUCCUUCUGGGAAUCUGGGCACACACGUGCCUGCCGUGUUUGUCUAGCUAUGGGAACUAGGGCUCAAACCACACGCUCUGCCACCAGGCCACAGGGCCGGCCCCGAAGCAUCCACUUUGGAAAUCUUGGCAGGCUACUACAGUGGACAGCUGUCCCAGUGCCCGUGUCCUCGGGAAAACACGAGUCGCCGAUGCUUUCGCCCACAAACCUGACUCCAAAUCCCCACCGCAGACUCGCUGAAUGUAGCCAGCACGUGGGCUCGGCCUCUCCCACACCGACAGAGACAGUUGCCGACACAGCACCUGAGUCGCCAGGCACAGUGCUGGAGGGUGAGUGCUACAGCCUACACCUUCCCCUCAGCCUCCGGCUCGCUCUUCCACUCCUCCGCCCUCCGCCCCUUGGCCUCCGUGCUCUUCCACACCUACUUGAGAUGCUUCUGGUUGGUGAGGAAGCCCCAUUCUAGGCAGCGAAGAUGUGGCUGCUAAAAUAACUGAGCUUAGUUUUAAAACAGUUUAAAAACUCAGUGUAAGUGGUCACUGGUCAGUGGCAAGCUAAUGAAACCUGAGCUCUUCCCACCCCGCCCCACAGUGAUGCCUGGAACUGGCUCUCUGCGACACCACUGUCUGACGGCCAGAGAUGUCAUGGCGUGCUGGAGUUAAACCUCACCCAUGUCUUCACGUGCUUUUCUGCACAAUCUGGAAACUAGGACACCUGCCCUUUACAAAUCUACGUCAGCUGCAUCAGCACUUGGUGCCCGGUGCACGACCCCCGAGAUGUGCAGCUCCUUACUCUGUGUCUCAGAGCGAUGGGUUCUGUUACCCAGAAGCCUCAUCCUGCCCGUGGCAAAUGCCGAAUACCCUGAAGGAUCUGGGUCUUUCUCCUUUCAUGCAUGUACGGAGAGAUACACACACUUUAAAGCAGGGUGUAAACACGACUAUAAGCACUAACCUGUCAGAGCUAAGCUCAGAAAGUGGAACCAAACCAGCAAAGACAAAGGCCAUGUUUGUGAGUCAUUUUGCACAGUCGUGAUUUUUAAAUGUGACACUACACGCUGUGGGAAACCAGCUCACAUUUAAUUGUGACAUUUUAAAAUUGUACAAGUAUUUUGACAUCUACACCCCCAUAAUUAGUCUCUUAAAAUGACAGGACACCAACCAAUGGCGGUUAGUGGUUCAGUACGCCUGGCCCUCAGCUCCUAUGCGCAGCACCCAACGUUCCUGUGAAGGACAGCCCGGCGGGCCGGCAGUGAGUCCCCGAGCGGAGGAGUCCAGGUGCUCUGAGCGUCCCUGUCGCAGGGCACUUGUCCGGG